Caerostris extrusa is the source of this 113-nucleotide non-coding RNA. The record is from the annotation of a GenBank genome assembly. Lineage: Eukaryota; Metazoa; Arthropoda; Arachnida; Araneae; Araneidae.
CGGCCAUUCACCAUGCUGAAUAUACCGGUUCUCGUUAGAUCACCGAAGUCAAGCAUCAUUAGGGGGCGGUCAGUACAUGGGUGGGCGACCACCUGGGAACACCGUGUGCCGUU